GUGAAUCAUCGAAUCUUUGAACGCACAUUGCACUCUGUUAGAGUAUGCCUGUUUGAGAAUCUAUAGUAAAACUUAUUGGUUUUCUUUUCAAUGCUUCAUGCAUAGGAAUAGAGUCAGUAGAUCUGAAGCUUCCCUUCUCUUUGAGAAGGGUGCUUUGAAAUAGAUUGCUUGUUGUUUUAGUGGAAUGUUUGACAUUUCUCAUUACCUCGCAGAAACGUAUGUGAAUGGAACUGUUUGUUUCUCAUAAUGCCUAAUACGCGAGGGAGAGGUGGAGUUUGGCUAGAAUUUAUGGGUUCAUAA
RNAcentral lists this unclassified non-coding RNA (300 nucleotides) under uncultured fungus. RNAcentral describes it as "sequence contains 5.8S rRNA gene, ITS2". The stretch from base 1 to 62 matches the Rfam family "5.8S ribosomal RNA", at positions 84 to 154 of the family's 154-position model. The record is from RNAcentral. Lineage: Eukaryota; Fungi.